AGUGGGAUAGCUGGGUCAAAUGGUGAUUCCAGUCCCAGUUUUCCAAGGAAUCUCCAUACUGCUUUUCAGAUUGGUUGUACCAAUUUGCAGUCCUACAGCAAU
This 102-nucleotide microRNA precursor is filed under the name Marmota monax (woodchuck). Lineage: Eukaryota; Metazoa; Chordata; Mammalia; Rodentia; Sciuridae. The record is from RNAcentral.